AAAAAUUUUCCAUAUCAUAUGACAAGAUUGUUAACAUGUUGGCAUUAAUAUAUAUUUAUUAACAACAUAAAUAAAUCCAUUUCACUUCUCAUUAUUAAAAAUUGAAGCAGGAAUAUUUGUUAACGUAUUAGCCAAGAUGAUGGCUACAAGAUAGUGCGAAUCCUAAAAAAUUGUGAUGGGUCAACAUACAGAGAUAGGGAUAUUUCAAAGGUUUUGAAUUUGGAAAUCUUUUCUUUAGAUACUGGUAAAUGGAGGAAUGUGAAGGUGUCAUUUUCUGUACGUACUGGUCUGCAUAUAUCUUUUCAGAGAGCUGUGCUCUAUAAUGGGAUUAUGCAUUGGGUUCAUGCAACUAGUGACCAGAUCAUAGCAUAUGAUCCCAGCAAGAUUAUUAAUAUUUCAGAUGAAUUUCGUUUGAUUCAUUUACCACCGUGUAAAGGGUAUAUUGUUCGAGAUAGAGUGCUUGGAACAUGUGGUGAUCUCCUAAGGCGUCUCAUGGUUGAAGGAGAGUAUUAUGUGAAACAAUAUUUGAGCGUUUACACGCUCAGGGACUAUGAUGCUGGAGUAUAUGGUCUAUGAAUUUCAAGAUUCUCUUGUGUGAUAUUCUCCCGGCUGCAAAACGUCUCCUUUUAAUGCCACUGGCUUUCCAUCCCACUGAUAUGGAUAAAGUGUUUAUAAGGUGUGGUCAGAAAAUGGGAGUCUAUAACCUUCAAACAAGAACAUUAACAAUUGUCGGUGUUGCUGAAUUCAUUGGUACUGCACUUAUUACUAAUGCAAGGGCCUUUCCAUUUGUGCUUCCAUCUAAGCCCACGCCUAUUUCAAGACCAACUUGGGAGUAAUUAUUUAUGGUGUAACACAGCUAGUGCUUUCUUUUACCAUAUGGUUAGGAAUUUUAUUCAAUAGGUUGCUUUUCUUAGUGACAAUAUAACAAAAUAAGGUGACAAUUAUAAUGCUUCAAGAUGAUCUCAG
This 966-nucleotide unclassified non-coding RNA is filed under the name Hevea brasiliensis (rubber tree). Lineage: Eukaryota; Viridiplantae; Streptophyta; Magnoliopsida; Malpighiales; Euphorbiaceae. The record is from RNAcentral.